GGGGGAUUAGCUCAUUUGGCUAGAGCGCCUGCCUUGCACGCAGGAGGUGGUGGGUUCGAAUCCAUAUCCUCCACCA
RNAcentral lists this transfer RNA (76 nucleotides) under Mycoplasmopsis agalactiae. RNAcentral describes it as "tRNA-Ala". It matches the Rfam family "tRNA". From Rfam's summary of the family: Transfer RNA (tRNA) molecules are approximately 80 nucleotides in length. Their secondary structure includes four short double-helical elements and three loops (D, anti-codon, and T loops). Lineage: Bacteria; Bacillati; Mycoplasmatota; Mycoplasmoidales; Metamycoplasmataceae. The record is from RNAcentral.